CCUACGGGGGGCAGCAGUAGGGAAUAUUGCUCAAUGGGGGAAACCCUGAAGCAGCAACGCCGCGUGGAGGAUGAAGGUUCUCGGAUUGUAAACUCCUUUUGUUAGAGAAGAUAAUGACGGUAUCUAACGAAUAAGCACCGGCUAACUCCGUGCCAGCAGCCGCGGUAAUAAGGAGGGUGCAAGCGUUACUCGGAAUCACUGGGCGUAAAGAGCGCGUAGGCGGGAUAGCAAGUCAGAUGUGAAAUCCUAGGGCUUAACCAUAGAACUGCAUUUGAAACUGUUAUUCUAGAGUAUGGGAGAGGUAGGUGGAAUUCGUGGUGUAGGGGUGAAAUCCGUAGAGAUCACGAGGAAUACUCAUUGCGAAGGCGACCUGCUAGAACAUAACUGACGCUGAUGAGCGAAAGCGUGGGGAGCAAACAGGAUUAGAUACCCGUGUAGUC
Molecule: ribosomal RNA, 440 nt
Filed under: uncultured bacterium
Lineage: Bacteria
Description: partial 16S ribosomal RNA
Rfam family: Bacterial small subunit ribosomal RNA
Source: RNAcentral